CUCAUACACAAUUCAGUAAGUAUUGUUUCUUAAUGCAUUCUCAUGAAGCUCGUCCUUUUGCUUUUUGCGUUAUUUCCCAUCGUCUUCGCUGCCAGCUUGUAUGAUGUAGAGAUCGAAAAAAGAUUUUCAAUAAACGAUCUAAUUCAGCAUCUCCAAAAGCAGGAUCUGAGUGAAGGUUGUGAGAAAGUUUGUCACAAAGAAGUACCUCUUUUCCCGGAUUUCUUUUGCAAAGCAGCUUGUCAAUUUAUUAAGAAAACUGGCAGCGGAAACUAACCGGAAAAAUAUCACUCAAAAUCCUGUUUUCCGUAAUAGGUAACGUAAAAUGAAAUAAACUGUAUUACACAAAAAA
Molecule: long non-coding RNA, 349 nt
Organism: Octopus sinensis (East Asian common octopus)
Lineage: Eukaryota; Metazoa; Mollusca; Cephalopoda; Octopoda; Octopodidae
Exons: 4
Source: RefSeq, a predicted model, not a curated record